RNAcentral lists this ribosomal RNA (549 nucleotides) under Staphylococcus aureus. RNAcentral's name for it is "bacterial SSU rRNA". It matches the Rfam family "Bacterial small subunit ribosomal RNA", at positions 993 to 1533 of the family's 1533-position model. Lineage: Bacteria; Bacillati; Bacillota; Bacilli; Caryophanales; Staphylococcaceae. The record is from RNAcentral.
GACAACUCUAGAGAUAGAGCUUUCCCCUUCGGGGGACAAAGUGACAGGUGGUGCAUGGUUGUCGUCAGCUCGUGUCGUGAGAUGUUGGGUUAAGUCCCGCAACGAGCGCAACCCUUAAGCUUAGUUGCCAUCAUUAAGUUGGGCACUCUAAGUUGACUGCCGGUGACAAACCGGAGGAAGGUGGGGAUGACGUCAAAUCAUCAUGCCCCUUAUGAUUUGGGCUACACACGUGCUACAAUGGACAAUACAAAGGGCAGCGAAACCGUGAGGUCAAGCAAAUCCCAUAAAGUUGUUCUCAGUUCGGAUUGUAGUCUGCAACUCGACUACAUGAAGCUGGAAUCGCUAGUAAUCGUAGAUCAGCAUGCUACGGUGAAUACGUUCCCGGGUCUUGUACACACCGCCCGUCACACCACGAGAGUUUGUAACACCCGAAGCCGGUGGAGUAACCUUUUAGGAGCUAGCCAUCGAAGGUGGGACAAAUGAUUGGGGUGAAGUCGUAACAAGGUAGCCGUAUCGGAAGGUGCGGCUGGAUCACCUCCUUUCUAAGGA